RNAcentral lists this microRNA precursor (69 nucleotides) under Gorilla gorilla gorilla (western lowland gorilla). RNAcentral describes it as "miRNA (ENSGGOG00000041037.1)". The record is from RNAcentral. Lineage: Eukaryota; Metazoa; Chordata; Mammalia; Primates; Hominidae.
GACAGUACAAAUAAUACCACAGUGGGUGUACCUCAUGUAUGUACACCCUGUGAUAUUAUUUGUAAUAUC